UCUUCCUCAUAAGCUGCUGCGACGCCAUUACAGCAAGGGGGGGAGAGGAGAUUCACAAACCCUCACCAUUCCUUCCAACUACCAUAACUUCCUCAUCCGGGCUCCGAUCGCCGCACCGUUUGCGGCCACGCGUCGGGCUCGUCGAGCUCUUCAAUUCUAUCCAAACAAAACAGGGUCCACUAGACUUGAUUUCUUGUGGGUAUUGCCCAAGGAUCAGUGGGUAAAGGUAGUGUGUAUGUGAAUGUUGAUGCUUGUUGGAGGCUUGUUGGUGAUCAAGCUUGGUUUGGGGCUGUUUGUUUGAGUUUGGAGGGGCUGUAAUUUUGAGUUGUGAGGCUGCCUUGGGUGAACUAAGUGAUCGGCCAAGGUAUGGUUUAAGUUUCGCACGUUUAAUAUUUACGGUGUUGUGAAAACUUAGGUUAGAGGAACCAUAGGAUAAGUUGAACUGUUAAUUGCAUUUAAUGAGUAGUUUGUAAUGUUGUUGGAGUAAAUUGUUGAUGAACAUAGAUUGGAAUUUUGAGGUAUUGAUGUUAUUAAUUUCAUGCUUUUGGACUUGCUUAUAAUGGGUUAUAUUGAAGUUGAUAUUGAUGAAUUAUGGUUGGUGAUUGUUAAUAAAUGGUUGUUAUGUCAAGUUGAUGGAUUAACAUGUAUGAAGAAUUGACUUAUGUUAAUGGCAUUUAAUUAGUAUAUGUUGAUGGAAGGUUGAUAAAUAUAUGAUGAGAAUUGGUAUAGGUGAAGAAUUGAUGUGAACAAAGGAAAAGUUAUUGAUGUAUGAGGUAAAAGUGGAUAAUUUUGAUGUUCUAGGUUGGUUGAGUUGAUUAAAGCUUAUAUUGGUAAUGGUUGUUGAUGAAUUGAGUUGAUAUGGUUUUACAAUGCAAGUUUUAAAUGGUAAGAAACUUAAGUUGGAGAAAAAGAGGUUUUGUUGAAAGUGGUUAAAACCAAAUUUUGAUGAACUUUAGACAUUCAUAAUAUUCUCCUCAAAUUUUGGAUUGGGUUGUGGUUUGUUGCAAAUAAAAGAUAGUUUCAAGAGCUUUUGAUUGAUAUCAACUCUGUGGAAAACGGAAUUUUGUGGAGAAAGUUA
This is a non-coding RNA of Arachis ipaensis, 1078 nucleotides long. NCBI's taxonomy places the organism in Eukaryota, Viridiplantae, Streptophyta, Magnoliopsida, Fabales, Fabaceae. The record is from RefSeq and is a predicted model, not a curated record.